Pseudophryne corroboree (corroboree frog) is the source of this 767-nucleotide long non-coding RNA. RefSeq lists it as uncharacterized. Lineage: Eukaryota; Metazoa; Chordata; Amphibia; Anura; Myobatrachidae. The record is from RefSeq and is a predicted model, not a curated record. The transcript is spliced from 2 exons.
AGUAUGUUCCAGGCGCACACCGCACAGGAGGAUCUGGCAGUGAAGGAGGGAAAGGGUGGCUACAGUGCACUACCGCACGUCAGUGCUAGUGUUCGCAUCCCCUAGCAAAGUCCGUCCUUGAUCCUCUCUAUGUAAUCCAUCACGAAGCUCUCAUUGUACACACUCCCUUACCACCCGGGAUUUAUGGAGAUCAGCGGCAGCCUCUGCUUGAUUUAUUAGGCUGUGCUGUGAACGGAGCUCGGAGGUGCUGGGGGAGGGCUGCAGUGUCCAUACAGUUAUUACUGUGUGCAGCCAGCUCCCAGCAUAGGACAGGGCUAGGCACAAGCCAGGGGUGAGGGCUGCUCUGAACAUUCAGCUCAUGGAGCCCAAGAGGCUGAGCUGCAGGGAGACAUGUAAUAGUAGCCAGUAGCAACAGCAGGUUGGAUCCUGUCCCCUCUCUCUCCCUGGCCAUAUUACACCAUCUCUAGCCUGCACAUCAAGUAGUGGGAGUCUGAGGUGGUGGCUGCAAUGUAUACAUGUCAGGGUUCCAGGCAAGUCUGCUGAGGAAUCUGCCUCACUUGCUGAAUUGAGCUGAAAAAGACCAAGAAAGCGGCUGUUAUAUAUUAUACUGAAACAAGGCCGAUCUCGCAGUAUUACGGAGUCUUGGAUGUGUAAUAACCAAAAGAAUGUGUCACAUCAGGAUCUGUGCGUGACAAAAGCGACACAGCCUCUACCACACAAGUUGCCUUAGUCCUCCUUGGAGACCACAUUAAAAAACUCUCAAUCAU